CAGGGUGCUGAGUCAUCUCGGGGGCUUCCAGCAUGCAAGCCUAUCCUAGAAUCCACUCUGAUUAAACGACAUAUAUGAGAUGCAGUCCAUGUGUACGAACCUUUAAUGAGGUUUGAGUGGGGAAAAGGUUACUGAAGGUCAGCCACAAGAUCUGGCAGGCAUGUGAUCUGGAUUGGAGCUGCAGAGAUUUUCUGAGUCUUUUGUUGUUUUUAUUUCUGCUUCUCUUAGAACAAUGGAAGAAGGCAUGGCCCUCGGGUAUUGCUCAAAUUCAGGACAAGAAGAACCUGGAAAGGAUCUCUAGAAGGGGCCCACAGCACUCCAGAACCCCAGUAAUAUUUUUGGCAAAGCCAGCCAGAAGAAAGAAAGAUACUGUCAUCUACAUCCCAAGACAACAGGGACAGGAAGAGCAUUCCAAUGAUGGCUCCCCUAGCUCAUCUGACCAGCACUACUCUUGUUC
Heterocephalus glaber (naked mole-rat) is the source of this 457-nucleotide long non-coding RNA. NCBI's taxonomy places the organism in Eukaryota, Metazoa, Chordata, Mammalia, Rodentia, Bathyergidae. The record is from Ensembl.